Diceros bicornis minor is the source of this 648-nucleotide long non-coding RNA. RefSeq lists it as uncharacterized. NCBI's taxonomy places the organism in Eukaryota, Metazoa, Chordata, Mammalia, Perissodactyla, Rhinocerotidae. The record is from RefSeq and is a predicted model, not a curated record. The transcript has 2 exons.
GUGUCCCAGGAAGGAUCCAUCCUCAAUGACUCCUGGAGCCUUGAUGAUCUGGAUCGGAACUACACCUGCACAGCUAUGAACCCUGCUAGCAAUAGCAUCUCUAGCCACAUCCUUGCUCGGGAGCUUUGUGCAGGUUCCAAGGCAGCUGCAGGCACUUAUUGCCCAGUGACAUGGAUUCUGCUGGGGAAGGGGCUUCUUCUCCUCAUGGUCCUGGGGGUUCUAUGAACUUGGCACAUCCGGACACAGAUGCUCAGCAAACUCCUUAUGUCUAACUCAGGGCCAUGAAGGCCACUAGUGCCCCAGGAGAGCCUGGAUGAGGCCAUUGCUUCUCUGUUGCUCAAUUAAAUUACAGUAUAGACCUCUACUCUUUUCAAGGUGUAGUACUAUGGAUUGUCAAAGACCAAUGGGAUAAAAUUUCAUAUCUUCCGUGUGUGAGCCCAUGUGUGUGCACACUGCAUGAGAAUGAGAACAAAAAGAGAUAAAAUAUUUGUAUCAAUACCAUGUUAUCUAUUCUAAGAAGCAAAUUCCCCCAUAAUUUAAGGUUUCUGGAAUCAAGAUGAGUCAUAAUAUUAAUGUGUAGGGCUAAAAGGGAUAGUGUAUUUUUCUCCUGAAAUACUGUUAUUAAAAUAAUACUGCUUUCAAAAAUCA